UGAGUAAGACAGAUGGUCGCGGCUGCAGAACCGAAAGGCUGCAGGUGAGGAAAGUCCGGGCUUCACAGGGCAGGAUGCCAGAUAACGUCUGGUGGAGGCGACUCCAAGGACAGUGCAACAGAAAUGUACCGCCCGGUUUACCGGGUAAGGGUGGAAGGGCAGUGUAAGAGACUACCGCCCGGCUGGUAACAGCCGGGGCACAUGUAAACCCCAUCCGAAGCAAGACCGAACAGAGAGCGCAAGGCGGCCCGUCUGCUCUCGGGUAGGUCGCUUGAGCCUGCUGGCGACAGCAGGACUAGAUAGAUGACCAUUCAACGACAUAACCCGGCUUACCGUUUUGCUCAAAUC
RNAcentral lists this RNase P RNA (348 nucleotides) under Clostridium sp. RNAcentral's name for it is "RNase P RNA component class A". It matches the Rfam family "Bacterial RNase P class A". Rfam says of the family: Ribonuclease P (RNase P) is a ubiquitous endoribonuclease, found in archaea, bacteria and eukarya as well as chloroplasts and mitochondria. Its best characterised activity is the generation of mature 5'-ends of tRNAs by cleaving the 5'-leader elements of precursor-tRNAs. Lineage: Bacteria; Bacillati; Bacillota; Clostridia; Eubacteriales; Clostridiaceae. RNAcentral also lists the same sequence under 17 other names. The record is from RNAcentral.